CUACGGAGGGGGCUAGCGUUGUUCGGAAUUACUGGGCGUAAAGCGUACGUAGGCGGAUUGUUAAGUUAGAGGUGAAAUCCCGGGGCUCAACCCCGGAACUGCCUUUAAAACUGGCAAUCUAGAGUUAUGGAGAGGUAAGUGGAAUUCCUAGUGUAGAGGUGAAAUUCGUAGAUAUUCGGAGGAACACCAGAGGCGAAGGCGGCUUACUGGACAUAUACUGACGCUGAGGUACGAAAGUGUGGGGAGCGAACGGGAUUAGAAACCCUAGUAGUCC
RNAcentral lists this ribosomal RNA (274 nucleotides) under uncultured bacterium. RNAcentral's name for it is "partial 16S ribosomal RNA". It matches the Rfam family "Bacterial small subunit ribosomal RNA", at positions 523 to 796 of the family's 1533-position model. The record is from RNAcentral.